RNAcentral lists this ribosomal RNA (476 nucleotides) under uncultured bacterium. RNAcentral's name for it is "partial 16S ribosomal RNA". It matches the Rfam family "Bacterial small subunit ribosomal RNA", at positions 355 to 824 of the family's 1533-position model. The record is from RNAcentral.
UAGGGAAUCUUCCACAAUGGACGCAAGUCUGAUGGAGCAACGCCGCGUGAGUGAAGAAGGUUUUCGGAUCGUAAAGCUCUGUUGUUGGUGAAGAAGGAUAGAGGCAGUAACCGGUCUUUAUUUGACGGUAAUCAACCAGAAAGUCACGGCUAACUACGUGCCAGCAGCCGCGGUAAUACGUAGGUGGCAAGCGUUGUCCGGAUUUAUUGGGCGUAAAGCGAGCGCAGGCGGAAUGAUAAGUCNGAUGUGAAAGCCCACGGCUCACCGUGGAACUGCAUCGGAAACUGUCAUUCUUGAGUGCAGGAGAGGAGAGUGGAACUCCAUGUGUAGCGGUGGAAUGCGUAGAUAUAUGGAAGAACACCAGUGGCGAAGGCGGCUCUCUGGUCUGCAACUGACGCUGAGGCUCGAAAGCAUGGGUAGCGAACAGGAUUAGAUACCCUGGUAGUCCAUGCCGUAAACGAUGAGCGCUAGGUGUU